Molecule: long non-coding RNA, 903 nt
Filed under: Drosophila guanche
Lineage: Eukaryota; Metazoa; Arthropoda; Insecta; Diptera; Drosophilidae
Source: RNAcentral
GGUUCAUUGCGGUCAGCCUCAAGCUCUGUGGCCUUAUCCUGUUGCAUCAAUGCUGGAUUCGAAGCAACUCCUCAAUCAAGUUGCAAAAGGUCAUCAGAGAGAUAGGUAUCGCCGAGGACGGAGAUGAUUUAAGGGGGGAGUAGUUAACACAUAAGCAAUAACAUGGGACACCCUAACUUAGCGCACAAGAAAUGUGAAAUAUCAUGUGCCGCCCUAACUUAUCCAGUCAGAUACGGAGGGCGCCGAUGCAGUAGAUGCCGUUGCAGCGGGCGACUCUGUUAUCUGAUUGGGCGCCAGCGAUCGCAUGAUCUUGUUUAUGCGUAGGCGGCUCUUAUCUCUUGUGAGCGCGGACGGCUCGCCGGCUAGGUUUCGGUGUAGGUUUAGAAGUAAGCUUUAGUUUAGAAUUUGACGAAUAAAUGAACGGAGCGUUCACAUAAACUCCGACACGAGUCGUAAAACGUGCAUUGAUAUAAUCAUAUUGUUGAGCCUUAAGGGCCAACGAAAUAGAGGGCAAUUACCCUCUCAACAUAAUCUUCGGUAGAAGACUCAGUUGCCAACCGCAACCACCGUCCCCCACUACAAGAGCGGGCCACGGGAACCCGAUCGCUGCCGCCGGAGCCAACGCAACGCAUACCGCAGCUCGGACCAAAAAACGCCAUAAAGUUAAUUGGCGCCCAACGGGAUUUAGGAUCCACGUCCCCAAGAAAAAUAACAUGUAAGUGACUGUUCGGAAAAAAUAAAGCUUGUGAGAGAAUUUUGAUCUCCCCUUCGCUGAUCGUUUAUGAGUUGGGACUAUAGAAACAAGGUCGAAUACGACAGCGACGAGAGCCUAGACUUAUUGUACCAGCCACCAGUCAGAACAGUGCAGAAUCAAUUUAAAAUGGACCCAGCCAUGAUAAAAGC